RNAcentral lists this transfer RNA (85 nucleotides) under Felis catus (domestic cat). It matches the Rfam family "tRNA". From Rfam's summary of the family: Transfer RNA (tRNA) molecules are approximately 80 nucleotides in length. Their secondary structure includes four short double-helical elements and three loops (D, anti-codon, and T loops). Lineage: Eukaryota; Metazoa; Chordata; Mammalia; Carnivora; Felidae. The record is from Rfam by way of RNAcentral.
GCCUGGGUGGCUCAGUCGGUUGGGCAUCCGACUUCAGCUCAGGUCAUGAUCUCACUGUCCGUGGGUUCGAGCCCCGCAUCAGGCU